UACGUAGGGGGCAAGCGCUGUCCGGAUUUACUGGGCGUAAAGGGUGUGCAGGCGGACUGGCAUGUCGAUGGUGAAAGCUCUCGGCUCAACCGAGAAAGGGCUGUCGAAACUACCAGUCUUGAGGACGGAAGAGGAAACUGGAACUUCUGGUGUAGCGGUAAAAUGCGUAGAUAUCAGAAGGAACGCCGAUAGCGAAGGCAGGUUUCUGGGACGUUCCUGACGCUGAAACACGAAAGCUAGGGGAGCAAACAGGAUUAGAUACCCCCGUA
This 269-nucleotide ribosomal RNA is filed under the name uncultured prokaryote. Its description in RNAcentral is "partial 16S ribosomal RNA". It matches the Rfam family "Bacterial small subunit ribosomal RNA", at positions 524 to 792 of the family's 1533-position model. The record is from RNAcentral.